Molecule: transfer RNA, 65 nt
Filed under: Dipodomys ordii (Ord's kangaroo rat)
Lineage: Eukaryota; Metazoa; Chordata; Mammalia; Rodentia; Heteromyidae
Rfam family: tRNA
About the family: Transfer RNA (tRNA) molecules are approximately 80 nucleotides in length. Their secondary structure includes four short double-helical elements and three loops (D, anti-codon, and T loops). Further hydrogen bonds mediate the characteristic L-shaped molecular structure. tRNAs have two regions of fundamental functional importance: the anti-codon, which is responsible for specific mRNA codon recognition, and the 3' end, to which the tRNAs corresponding amino acid is attached (by aminoacyl-tRNA synthetases). tRNAs cope with the degeneracy of the genetic code in two manners: having more than one tRNA (with a specific anti-codon) for a particular amino acid; and 'wobble' base-pairing, i.e. permitting non-standard base-pairing at the 3rd anti-codon position.
Source: Rfam by way of RNAcentral
GGUGGCUUAGUAGUAGAGUGAUUGCCUUACAUGCAAAAGGCCCUGGGUUCGAUUCCUCAGCACCA